RNAcentral lists this ribosomal RNA (433 nucleotides) under uncultured bacterium. RNAcentral's name for it is "partial 16S ribosomal RNA". It matches the Rfam family "Bacterial small subunit ribosomal RNA", at positions 29 to 507 of the family's 1533-position model. The record is from RNAcentral.
AACGAACGCUGGCGGCAUGCCUAACACAUGCAAGUCGAACGAAGGCUUCGGCCUUAGUGGCGCACGGGUGCGUAACGCGUGGGAAUCUGCCCUUUGGUUCGGAAUAACAGCUGGAAACGGCUGCUAAUACCGGAUGAUGACGAAAGUCCAAAGAUUUAUCGCCAGAGGAUGAGCCCGCGUUGGAUUAGGUAGUUGGUGGGGUAAAGGCCUACCAAGCCGACGAUCCAUAGCUGGUCUGAGAGGAUGAUCAGCCACACUGGGACUGAGACACGGCCCAGACUCCUACGGGAGGCAGCAGUGGGGAAUAUUGGACAAUGGGCGCAAGCCUGAUCCAGCAAUGCCGCGUGAGUUAUGAAGGUCCGAGGGUUGUAAAGCUCUUUUACCCGGGAAGAUAAUGACUGUACCGGGAGAAUAAGCCCCGGCUAACUCCGUG